This is a long non-coding RNA of Pungitius pungitius (ninespine stickleback), 187 nucleotides long. RefSeq lists it as uncharacterized. Lineage: Eukaryota; Metazoa; Chordata; Actinopteri; Perciformes; Gasterosteidae. The record is from RefSeq and is a predicted model, not a curated record. The transcript is spliced from 3 exons.
GGACGAUGUCGGGAGCCUUCCCAACAGUCCUGCAGAGGAGAAAUGCCUUCACACCUAUGGACUGGACACAGUAUAAACUCGCAGUUUGCAGAGAGGUGGUGCCCUAUCUAAAGAAUGCAGAACAUUAAGAAUGCUGCAGUCCUGCAUUUCACCUAUCCCACUCAACAAACACACACACACACACACA